RNAcentral lists this ribosomal RNA (254 nucleotides) under uncultured bacterium. RNAcentral's name for it is "partial 16S ribosomal RNA". It matches the Rfam family "Bacterial small subunit ribosomal RNA", at positions 524 to 776 of the family's 1533-position model. The record is from RNAcentral.
UACGGGGGGAGCAAGCGUUGUUCGGAUUUACUGGGCGUAAAGGGCGCGUAGGCGGUCAGCACAAGUCAGUUGUGAAAUCUCCGGGCUUAACUCGGAAAGGUCAACUGAUACUGUGCGACUAGAGUGCAGAAGGGGCAACUGGAAUUCUCGGUGUAGCGGUGAAAUGCGUAGAUAUCGAGAGGAACACCUGCGGCGAAGGCGGCUAUCUGGACGACAACUGACGCUGAGGCGCGAAAGCGUGGGGAUCAAACAGG